UUUUUUUUUUUAAGUUCCUAGUGCAAAAAGGGGCAGCUAGAUAUUUCACCAUUGGAUGGAUGGGAUAUCCAACACCUGCAUUUAAAAAAAAAAAAAAAAAAGUUCCAGCUUGAGUCACCUUCCUGCGAAGUUGGAUCGCCCUGGAGGUCAGGGGGUUGGCCAGGCCUCUUGCAGUAAUACAGGAAUGGACACUUGUAGGAGAGGCAAGGUCCUUGACCAGGAGAUUAAAGGGGGAGGACUAGGCUUGCUUGUUGAUGAGUUUAGUUUUCUGUGAGAACUGAAAGACAAGCCACCUAUUAGCAUCGUGUUCCCUCCACCUGCAAGAUCUGGAGAAUGAAUGAAAGCAAUCUCAGGAGAGACGAGUCCAGUCGUCAGUGUACGUGUAUAAAGAGUCUCGGCCCUUGAGAAGCUGAAGCAGGUCGUUCAUGAAUUCCAGUCCAGUCUCCUUGGCUUCAUCAGGAAACCAUGUGUCCAAAAAACAGGAGAUAUAAGGGCCUUUCUGGAGAGAUAGUUUAGAGGUUAUGGGAAUCUGUGCUGGAUUUGCAGCACCCUCGCCUGCAAUUCUGGGUCCAGGGGGAUCUGUCGCCCCCUUCUGGCCUCCGGAACGUGUUUGUGGUGGUGCGUGGACAUACAUGCAGGGAAAACACCCAUACACAUAAAGUGAAAAUGUCUUUUUUAAGAGAGGGGGAUGAGCUUGGUGGUCAUGGUGGUGGUGGCAGCGCACGCCUUUAAUUAAAGCGCUUGGGAGUCAGAAGCAGAUGGAGUUUGAAGCCAGCCUGGUCUACGGAGCUAGUUCCAGAACAGCCAGGAAGCCCUGUC
This 819-nucleotide long non-coding RNA is filed under the name Mus musculus (house mouse). RNAcentral's name for it is "long non-coding RNA chr15:89315766-89316585". Lineage: Eukaryota; Metazoa; Chordata; Mammalia; Rodentia; Muridae. The record is from RNAcentral.